UACGUAGGGCGCAAGCGUUGUCCGGAAUUAUUGGGCGUAAAGAGCUCGUAGGCGGCCAGUUGCGUCCGCUGUGAAAUCCCGGGGCUUAACCCCGGGCGUGCAGUGGAUACGGGCUGGCUAGAGGCAGGCAGGGGAGAACGGAAUUCCCGGUGUAGCGGUGAAAUGCGCAGAUAUCGGGAGGAACACCGGUGGCGAAGGCGGCGAUCUGGGUCGAUACUGACGCUGAGGUGCGAAAGCGUGGGGAGCAAACAGG
RNAcentral lists this ribosomal RNA (253 nucleotides) under uncultured bacterium. Its description in RNAcentral is "partial 16S ribosomal RNA". It matches the Rfam family "Bacterial small subunit ribosomal RNA", at positions 524 to 776 of the family's 1533-position model. The record is from RNAcentral.